Molecule: ribosomal RNA, 199 nt
Filed under: uncultured bacterium
Lineage: Bacteria
Description: partial 16S ribosomal RNA
Rfam family: Bacterial small subunit ribosomal RNA
Source: RNAcentral
ACGCUCGACACCUACGGGAGGCAGCAGUGGGGAAUAUUGCACAAUGGGGGAAACCCUGAUGCAGCGACGCCGCGUGAGCGAAGAAGUAUUUCGGUAUGUAAAGCUCUAUCAGCAGGGAAGAAACUGACGGUACCUGACUAAGAAGCACCGGCUAAAUACGUGCCAGCAGCCACGGUAAUCUGGAGCGGGCUGGCAAGGC